AUUGAACGCUGGCGGCAGGCCUAACACAUGCAAGUCGAGCGGAUGAAGGGAGCUUGCUCCUGGAUUCAGCGGCGGACGGGUGAGUAAUGCCUAGGAAUCUGCCCGGUAGUGGGGGAUAACGUCCGGAAACGGGCGCUAAUACCGCAUACGUCCUGAGGGAGAAAGUGGGGGAUCUUCGGACCUCACGCUAUCAGAUGAGCCUAGGUCGGAUUAGCUAGUUGGUGGGGUAAAGGCCUACCAAGGCGACGACCCGUAACUGGUCUGAGAGGAUGAUCAGUCACACUGGAACUGAGACACGGUCCAGACUCCUACGGGAGGCAGCAGUGGGGAAUAUUGGACAAUGGGCGAAAGCCUGAUCCAGCCAUGCCGCGUGUGUGAAGAAGGUCUUCGGAUUGUAAAGCACUUUAAGUUGGGAGGAAGGGCAGUAAGUUAAUACCCUGCUGUUUUGACGUUACCAACAGAAUAAGCACCGGCUAACUUCGUG
Molecule: ribosomal RNA, 484 nt
Filed under: uncultured bacterium
Lineage: Bacteria
Description: partial 16S ribosomal RNA
Rfam family: Bacterial small subunit ribosomal RNA
Source: RNAcentral